Molecule: ribosomal RNA, 169 nt
Filed under: Clitopilus sp.
Lineage: Eukaryota; Fungi; Basidiomycota; Agaricomycetes; Agaricales; Entolomataceae
Description: partial large subunit ribosomal RNA
Rfam family: Eukaryotic large subunit ribosomal RNA
Source: RNAcentral
CGGGAAAAGCUCAAAUUUAAAAUCUGGUAGUCUCUGGCUGCCCGAGUUGUAAUCUAGAGAAGUGUUAUCCGUGCUGGACCGUGUAUAAGUCUCCUGGAAUGGAGCGUCAUAGAGGGUGAGAAUCCCGUCUUUGACACGGACUCCCAGUGCAUUGUGAUGCGCUCUCGAA